GAUGAAGAACGCAGCGAAAUGCGAUAAGUAAUGUGAAUUGCAGAAUUCAGUGAAUCAUCGAAUCUUUGAACGCACCUUGCGCCCUUUGGCUAUUCCGAAGGGCAUGCCUGUUUGAGUAUCGUGAACACCUCAACUCUCAUGGUUUGCCAUGAUGAGCUUGGACUUUGGGGGUUUUGCUGGCCUUUGGUCGGCUCCUCUCAAACGGAUCAGCUUUCCAGUGUUUGGUGGCGUCACUGGUGUGAUAACUAUCUACGCCUGUGGUUUUCUGCCAGAUAACCUUCAGCGAUGGAGGUUCGCUGGGGCUCAUAAAUGUCUCUCUUCAGUGGAGACAGCUUUUUGGACGUUUGAUCUCAAAUCAGGUAGGACUACCCGCUGAACUUAAGCAUAUCAAUAACGGAGGA
Molecule: unclassified non-coding RNA, 401 nt
Filed under: soil metagenome
Description: partial contains 5.8S ribosomal RNA, internal transcribed spacer 2, and large subunit ribosomal RNA
Rfam family: 5.8S ribosomal RNA (bases 1-121)
Source: RNAcentral